UUUGCGUUAGGGAUAGAAGUGGAAAUCCAUUUUUUCUUUUUUCAGAAAAAAAGAUUGAAACGAAUAGCCCGACCCUUG
This 78-nucleotide small RNA is filed under the name Flavobacterium sp. 123. RNAcentral describes it as "Flavo-1 RNA". It matches the Rfam family "Flavo-1 RNA". The record is from RNAcentral. Lineage: Bacteria; Pseudomonadati; Bacteroidota; Flavobacteriia; Flavobacteriales; Flavobacteriaceae.